UAAGCGACUAAGCGUACACGGUGGAUGCCCUGGCAGUCAGAGGCGAUGAAGGACGUGCUAAUCUGCGAUAAGCGUCGGUAAGGUGAUAUGAACCGUUAUAACCGGCGAUUUCCGAAUGGGGAAACCCAGUGUGAUUCGUCACACUAUCAUUACGUGAAUACAUAGCGUAAUGAAGCGAACCGGGGGAACUGAAACAUCUAAGUACCCCGAGGAAAAGAAAUCAACCGAGAUUCCCCCAGUAGCGGCGAGCGAACGGGGAGCAGCCCAGAGUCUGAAUCAGCUUGUGUGUUAGUGGAACGGUCUGGAAAGUCCGACGGUACAGGGUGAUAGUCCCGUACACCAAAAUGCACAGGUUGUGAACUCGAAGAGUAGGGCGGGACACGUGGUAUCCUGUCUGAAUAUGGGGGGACCAUCCUCCAAGGCUAAAUACUCCUGACUGACCGAUAGUGAACCAGUACCGUGAGGGAAAGGCGAAAAGAACCCCGGCGAGGGGAGUGAAAAAGAACCUGAAACCGUGUACGUACAAGCAGUGGGAGCCUCUUUAUGGGGUGACUGCGUACCUUUUGUAUAAUGGGUCAGCGACUUAUAUUCUGUAGCAAGGUUAACCGUAUAGGGGAGCCGAAGGGAAACCGAGUCUUAACUGGGCGUUAAGUUGCAGGGUAUAGACCCGAAACCCGGUGAUCUAGCCAUGGGCAGGUUGAAGGUUGGGUAACACUAACUGGAGGACCGAACCGACUAAUGUUGAAAAAUUAGCGGAUGACUUGUGGCUGGGGGUGAAAGGCCAAUCAAACCGGGAGAUAGCUGGUUACUCCCCGAAAGCUAUUUAGGUAGCGCCUCGUGAAUUCAUCUUCGGGGGUAGAGCACUGUUUCGGCUAGGGGGUCAUCCCGACUUACCAACCCGAUGCAAACUGCGAAUACCGAAGAAUGUUAUCACGGGAGACACACGGCGGGUGCUAACGUCCGUCGUGAAGAGGGAAACAACCCAGACCGCCAGCUAAGGUCCCAAAGUCACAGUUAAGUGGGAAACGAUGUGGGAAGGCACAGACAGCCAGGAUGUUGGCUUAGAAGCAGCCAUCAUUUAAAGAAAGCGUAAUAGCUCACUGGUCGAGUCGGCCUGCGCGGAAGAUGUAACGGGGCUAAACUGUGCACCGAAGCUGCGGCAGCGACACUAUGUGUUGUUGGGUAGGGGAGCGUUCUGUAAGCCGUUGAAGGUGUGUCGUGAGGCAUGCUGGAGGUAUCAGAAGUGCGAAUGCUGACAUAAGUAACGAUAAUGCGGGUGAAAAACCCGCACGCCGGAAGACCAAGGGUUCCUGUCCAACGUUAAUCGGGGCAGGGUGAGUCGACCCCUAAGGCGAGGCCGAAAGGCGUAGUCGAUGGGAAACAGGUUAAUAUUCCUGUACUUGGUGUUACUGCGAAGGGGGACGGAGAAGGCUAUGUUAGCCGGGCGACGGUUGUCCCGGUUUAAGCAUGUAGGCGGAGGUUCCAGGUAAAUCCGGUACCUUUUUAACGCUGAGGUGUGAUGACGAGGCACUACGGUGCUGAAGUAACAAAUGCCCUGCUUCCAGGAAAAGCCUCUAAGCAUCAGGUAGCACGAAAUCGUACCCCAAACCGACACAGGUGGUCAGGUAGAGAAUACCAAGGCGCUUGAGAGAACUCGGGUGAAGGAACUAGGCAAAAUGGUGCCGUAACUUCGGGAGAAGGCACGCUGAUAUGUAGGUGAAGUGAUUUACUCAUGGAGCUGAAAUCAGUCGAAGAUACCAGCUGGCUGCAACUGUUUAUUAAAAACACAGCACUGUGCAAACACGAAAGUGGACGUAUACGGUGUGACGCCUGCCCGGUGCCGGAAGGUUAAUUGAUGGGGUUAUCCGUAAGGAGAAGCUCUUGAUCGAAGCCCCGGUAAACGGCGGCCGUAACUAUAACGGUCCUAAGGUAGCGAAAUUCCUUGUCGGGUAAGUUCCGACCUGCACGAAUGGCGUAAUGAUGGCCAGGCUGUCUCCACCCGAGACUCAGUGAAAUUGAACUCGCUGUGAAGAUGCAGUGUACCCGCGGCAAGACGGAAAGACCCCGUGAACCUUUACUAUAGCUUGACACUGAACACUGGUCCUUGAUGUGUAGGAUAGGUGGGAGGCUUUGAAGUGUGGACGCCAGUCUGCAUGGAGCCAACCUUGAAAUACCACCCUUUAAUGGCUGGUGUUCUAACGUGGGCCCGUAAUCCGGGUUGCGGACAGUGUCUGGUGGGUAGUUUGACUGGGGCGGUCUCCUCCUAAAGAGUAACGGAGGAGCACGAAGGUUAGCUAAUCCUGGUCGGACAUCAGGAGGUUAGUGCAAAGGCAUAAGCUAGCUUGACUGCGAGAGUGACGGCUCGAGCAGGUGCGAAAGCAGGUCUUAGUGAUCCGGUGGUUCUGAAUGGAAGGGCCAUCGCUCAACGGAUAAAAGGUACUCCGGGGAUAACAGGCUGAUACCGCCCAAGAGUUCAUAUCGACGGCGGUGUUUGGCACCUCGAUGUCGGCUCAUCACAUCCUGGGGCUGAAGUAGGUCCCAAGGGUAUGGCUGUUCGCCAUUUAAAGUGGUACGCGAGCUGGGUUUAGAACGUCGUGAGACAGUUCGGUCCCUAUCUGCCGUGGGCGCUGGAGAAUUGAGGGGGGCUGCUCCUAGUACGAGAGGACCGGAGUGGACGCAUCACUGGUGUUCGGGUUGUCAUGCCAAUGGCAUUGCCCGGUAGCUAAAUGCGGAAGAGAUAAGUGCUGAAAGCAUCUAAGCACGAAACUUGCCCCGAGAUGAGUUCUCCCUGAGACUUUAAGUCUCCUGAAGGAACGUUGAAGACGACGACGUUGAUAGGUCGGGUGUGUAAGUGUAGCGAUACAUUGAGCUAACCGAUACUAAUGAACCGUGAGGCUUAACCU
Molecule: ribosomal RNA, 2903 nt
Filed under: Shigella flexneri 1235-66
Lineage: Bacteria; Pseudomonadati; Pseudomonadota; Gammaproteobacteria; Enterobacterales; Enterobacteriaceae
Description: bacterial LSU rRNA
Rfam family: Bacterial large subunit ribosomal RNA
Source: RNAcentral